UAUAAAUAAACAAGAGUUUCAAUAAAAGAGAGUAUCAAAAGAUUACAUUGUUUCCCCCAACAACAAUAGGGUUUAGUUCACCAUUGUCAUGGUGAAACUAGAUGAAAAAUGGAUGAAGAAUGGAAAAGCAAACCCUAGAAAAGAUGAAAAGGAGCCUAAGCAUCCAAGAGAUCCUCUCCAGAGAGUGAAAUUAGGUCUGGC
This 201-nucleotide long non-coding RNA is filed under the name Vigna radiata. Its description in RNAcentral is "long non-coding RNA (VRAD_LNC016063)". The record is from RNAcentral. Lineage: Eukaryota; Viridiplantae; Streptophyta; Magnoliopsida; Fabales; Fabaceae.